Phascolarctos cinereus (koala) is the source of this 331-nucleotide non-coding RNA. The record is from RefSeq and is a predicted model, not a curated record. Lineage: Eukaryota; Metazoa; Chordata; Mammalia; Diprotodontia; Phascolarctidae.
CCUGAAUGAAGUGGGGAGUGCCUGGCCCUGCUAAUCCUUCCAUCUCAUCUAUGUCUCUUUCUUCCUUUUUAGUGAAUGAGAUUGGAGAUGGAUAUGAUCUUGUGAACUGUAUAAGGUCAGGAGGGCAUCAGUUGGACUUUCAGUCUCCAGUUAUUUCCCUCCCCAGCCAUUCAAUCCCAUCUCAGAGAUGACAGGGUCCAGCCCAAGCAGAUUGAAUCUGGUUGUCUCAGUCUUUAGGAGAAAUCAUCCAAAUCAAAGUGGCAAGCAAUGAAAUCUCUUCCUAACAAAUGACAAAGAGUUCCAAAAAUGUGCUCCAGAAGGGGUUUUGGCA